This 638-nucleotide ribosomal RNA is filed under the name Alatina alata. RNAcentral describes it as "partial large subunit ribosomal RNA". It matches the Rfam family "Bacterial large subunit ribosomal RNA", at positions 1798 to 2674 of the family's 2925-position model. The record is from RNAcentral. Lineage: Eukaryota; Metazoa; Cnidaria; Cubozoa; Carybdeida; Alatinidae.
GACUGUUUACCAAAGACAUAGCCAGUCGCUUAAAUGACUGGUGUAGCCUGCCCACUGAACAAUAUUAAAGGGCCGCGGUAACUCUGACCGUGCUAAGGUAGCAUAAUCACUCGCCGCCUAAUUAGCGGAUAGAAUGAAAGGCUGAACGAGCCCACCACUGUCUCAGCUUUAGAUCUAACGAAAUUAAAUUAGCUGUUAAGAUGCAGUUGAAAAUUGGAAAGACGAGAAGACCCCGUGAGCUUUACUUCGAGCUACCUCCUUACAAAAGGUGGUAAGAAGUUUGGUUGGGGCGACCUCCCAAACUCUAGAAACUUGGGAAUACAAGGGUAAUUUUAAUAAGUAGAAGCUUAACAAGUGGGAAACCGCCCAGCUUGAUAGAAAAUCUAAGUUAUAGUGACCCACCCUCUGUAGGGGUGAAUAUGGAUAAAAGUUACCACGGGGAUAACAGGGUAAUCCAGCCUUAGAGUUCCUAUCGAAGGAAGGGUUUGCCACCUCGAUGUUGAAUAGUAGUAUCCUGGGGGUGCAGCAGCUCCCAAAGGUUGGUCUGUUCGACCAGUAAAACUGUACUUGAUUUGAGUUCAUUCCGUCGUAAGACAGGAAGGUUUCUAUCUUGAAGAUAGGUUUAUUGCGCGCAGGUU